AACAGUGUUUUUCAAAUCCAUUUACGUUCUACCUGUCAAAGUGUAAACCGAGUCUCAAAAGUGGUGUCGAGUGUAUUUUUCUUUGGUUACCAUCCAAGUUUCCCGAUUCGAAGUGCCAAAGUACGCUUUACGUAACCACAUUCGCAAACGUAUAGUUCGUUGUAGACCACCACACUAGAACAAUAAAAUUAUCAAACAUCGCCGUUUAUUGUUCAGAAAAAUUUCUUCAUAUGUAACAUAGAUAAUUUAAUAAGAACUUCGUUGUCGUCAAAUAGUUAUUAUACGGGGGCCUUAUUAAGAUAAAGAUUAUAUUGUGUUAGCCGUAAAGAUAAAGGAUUUUAUUGUUGUUGUGUGUAGAAAAGGCGGUAUUGUUGAAGUUUUUCGCGUAUUUCCUGUCGAAGUGUCGGUUCAUCAAUUCACUCGUCACUGACUUCAGUGCGACCGACGGGAAGCUUCAUUCAAGAAUCGUGUUUUGAAGAAGAAGAAACAUGUCCAACGACUUUGUGAAUUUUAAGAUCCGCGAGGAAUGCGAGAUCUUCCAGUGGUCCGACAAGCAGCUACGAGAGAUCAUGGUGCGCCUCCACAGCGCUAUUGAGAAAGGCCUCGGCAGAGAUACCCAUGAAUCCUCCAUCGUCAAGUGCUGGAUCACUUACAUUCAAGACUUACCCAAUGGAAAAGAACGCGGUAAAUUUUUGGCGUUAGAUUUGGGCGGAACCAACUUCAGAGUAUUAAUAAUAAAUUUAGGCGAUAAUCACUUCGACAUGCAGUCCAAAAUUUAUGCCAUACCUCAACACAUCAUGACUGGUACUGGAUUAGCUCUGUUCGAUCACAUAGCCGAGUGCUUAGCCAAUUUUAUGAAGGAACACGGAGUGUAUGAAGAACGUUUGGCGCUCGGAUUUACAUUCAGUUUCCCGUUAAAACAACUUGGUCUCACGAAAGGCAUUUUACAACGUUGGACCAAAGGAUUCUCUUGCUCUGGCGUUGUCGGCACAGAUGUCGUCCAGGGAUUAAAAGACGCCAUCGCGAGACGUGGAGACGUACAGAUUGACAUAUGCGCUAUUCUGAAUGACACCACGGGUACAUUGAUGUCUUGCGCGUGGAAAAACCACAACUGCAAAAUAGGACUCAUCGUUGGUACUGGCAGCAACGCGUGCUAUGUUGAGAAGACGGAAGCCUGUGAGACAUUUGAAGGUGGCUUGAGCAAACAAGACAUGGUUGUAAACACAGAGUGGGGAGCAUUUGGAGAUGAUGGAGCACUUGACUUUGUACGCACAGAGUUCGACCGCGAAAUCGACCAACAUUCCGUUAACCCAGGCAAACAAAUCCAGGAGAAGAUGAUAUCUGGCAUGUAUCUGGGAGAACUAGUCCGUCUUGCGCUCGUGAAGUUCACGCGGAUGGGUCUACUCUUUGGAGGUCGCGGCUCGGACCUUUUCUUCCAACGAGGCAGCUUCUACACUAAAUACGUUUCUGAAAUCGAGUCUGACAAACCUGGAGAUUUCAUGAGCUGCAUGGAGGUGCUUGAGGAAUUGGGGUUGUCCCAUGCGACGGAGGCUGACAUGGCGGCCGUGCGACACGUCUGCGAAUGCGUCUCGCGGCGGGCCGCGCACCUUGUGUCGGCCGGGCUCGCGGUCCUCCUCAACAAGAUGGGCGAGCCGCGCGUCACCGUCGGCAUCGACGGCUCCGUCUACAGGUUCCACCCGCACUUCCACGCGCUCAUGUGCGAGAAGAUCGCACAGCUGAUCCGGCCCGGGCUACAGUUUGACCUCAUGCUGUCAGAGGACGGCAGCGGGCGCGGGGCGGCGCUAGUGGCGGCGGUGGCGUGUCGUGAGAUCCAAAAUGCCGCGUAAGCCGCUGACUCUCUCCGUCCCACUGUACCUACCUUCACCACCGACAUGGCUGGGAUCUCACGUUUCCUCGGUUAGGCCGUAGCUCGAGUGAGGCUUUCCCAAAGAUUUUGGCUUCUAACAUUUUUAACAGUUGUGACCAAAGUAUUUAUUUCGAUCUGAUGGAAACAGCCCGGACUAGAUGCUGGACAUCUGUUUUUUUUUUUUUUUUUUGGAGACGGAAUUAAUGGUACAUACUAAAAUUUAAUCAGCUUUUUUCUCCCAUACGUUCGGGUUACAUAAUUAGGAUAAUGUAGAGUAUUAAUAGCCUUAAAGUAGCGCACCAAAGACGCGAAUGCGCUUGUCCGGUCUGACGACGGUUAGAUAGAUUUAAUACAUGUUAUUGGUCUCAAAUAUAUCUUAGGGAAAUCGCCUCUAGUGGUCGGAGCAUUUUAAUGUAUGCAAAUGUAUAUGGGUCAGUAGUUGAAAAGAUCGCUUCCGGUGAUAUUUUGGAAAGUCUUCUGCUUAUGAGUACUACUACUCUAUGUACCAAAAGUACUUUUUAGAUGGACACUAAGAUCCUAACUUAAAAACUUUUAUAUCGAUGUCGAAAAGAUUUUAUUGUACUUAUAUUUGUAAUAGUCUAGUCACAAUUAUACCAGGAUUAAGUUAUCUGUUGUUACAUCUUCUUCAGUCUUCAUUUUCGUUUCACCAUUUGUUUAUUGAGGGUAUUUGUGAAAGACUGAACACUAUCCAUAUGCUUGUCCUGGUUUUUACACUUGUAAUAAUAUUGAUCUUAGUGUCGGUCUGCGCGCUCUGCAUUCCCGUUCGCAGUUUCGUAGCCAGCAUUGCAGAGAUCUGGCCCAACCAUCAACGAUAUGUUUCCUUUUAUUAGCAAUAAGUAGAUAAAAAAUGCACUUUAACGGAGAGAAAGCUAUAUUUUAUAACGAUGUUGAAGUUUGAGUAAGAAAAUAUUGUUAAAUAUAUUGUUAGUCUUAUACAGAACAUCACAUACGAAAAGCAAACUAUCUGUUGAUACCAUAUUUAUUUAAGUAUUUUUAUACAAAUCAUUAAACAAAAAAAAACGAAUAUUUAGCACAAGCUACCCUAAGUCCAAGACUUAUGCAUUGUGAUGCCAUAAGAAAAUAUUUAGAGGACUUAUAGGUAACAUAUUGUAUGUAACAUUACACGAGAAUCUCAGUUAGUUCUUUGCGGAUAUUGUAAGUGUAGUGAGCCAUUGUUUUUGAUCAUUCCAUUUAUAGGACACCACAAGUAAUCACUCUCAUUUGUAUGGACAAGCUUGACAUUUGCAAGACAAGUUGAUAGCAACUGGCAUUCAAAUAGGCAGGUUCUAAGUAUAACACAACACAAGGUAGUUUGCAAUUUCUAUUAGUUCGUAUUUGUUUAUUGAUCACUUACUGUCAGGAGAUUUUAUAAAAAGAUCCAAAAAUGACAGAUUUAAUCCCAGGUAGAAAACACUGCAUUAAUAUAACUUUAGUUUAUUGAUAUUUAACUGUGAUAGAGCUAGAAAUAUGUUAUAAAAAUUUUUCGUUAGUCUUUGUUAUCUAAAAGGUCUUAAUUUUUGGUGAUAUGUUUGACAUAGUUACUUAAUAAUAUCUACAAAAACAAUGACAUAGCAUAGUUUAAAGAUUAGGUACAAAAGGCAAAAUUGUGGAAACAUCUGGUUGUUUUUAAAAUGUAUAUUCGAUCAAUAUUUACUUAAUUACUACCGUCACGUAUGCCCUUUUAAUCCAUAACAUCAUUAGUAGUUCCUAGUUUUCAAUAGGUGCAUUUUAAGUAUGUAUACCUACGUAUAUUGCGUAUUGUCAGUAUGAGUUUGUUGCAUUGCAUGCUAUGUAACACAGUUGUUAUUUUAAAUUAUUUAGAAUUAAGUACUCCUUUAAGAUAUUUAGUAUCUACGCAGCGCAUACUAAAUAGAUAAUAGUCUGUUAUUUAUUUAGCAGACUAAAAAUAAUACUGAGUAUAAUCGAGUGAAAUUAUUGCGCUCUUAAAUUACUAAGUUGUAUACCUAUAAUUAAUCAUCUAUAUGAUUUGCUCAAAGCUCCAAUCAAGAAAACCGUUUUAUGUUUUCAAUUUCUUAUUUAGACGUUAAAAUUAAUCCAACCACCCGAAGAAUGCACAAAUAAACCGGUGUACAUUUAGUAUACAUUCGAUUCAUCUGGAUCAUGACUCGUUGAGCAGUAUUGUGUAUAUUUUAAUGAGUUACAACGCUACAUCUGUGUCCGCGUGAAACGGCUAGUUUUACAUUCCAUAGGGCUUUUGAAGCUCCUAGGUUCAGUAUAGUCGUAUGAAUUCAUCGAAAAUCUAACCCAAACAGCAGAAAUGUACACACAUAUCACAUCUGUCAUUAUGAGACAAUAAUCAUGGAUCCGUUGUAUGUAAAUAGGUUUAGAAUUUUGUUUGUUUGGCCUGGCGCCCGAUUUGGUUAUUGCUUCAUUACACAUUGUGUAAAUUAUAAUUUUGAAUAGAAAUCUAUAUAUACUAAAUAUCAUGAAAUCAUGAAAUAAUUUAUGUGAAAGAGAUAAUGAAUGUACCUAGAUAGUUCUUUUUUGUGUGAGAGCUGUGAGCAAUGUUACUUAUUUCAAGAAUAAAUUUAUAUAAAUUUACC
Cydia splendana is the source of this 4452-nucleotide RNA transcript. It is a transcript of the gene named hexokinase type 2, with no coding region annotated. Lineage: Eukaryota; Metazoa; Arthropoda; Insecta; Lepidoptera; Tortricidae. The record is from RefSeq and is a predicted model, not a curated record. The transcript is spliced from 10 exons.